Long non-coding RNA from Scylla paramamosain (green mud crab), 2992 nucleotides. RefSeq lists it as uncharacterized. The transcript has 3 exons. The record is from RefSeq and is a predicted model, not a curated record. NCBI's taxonomy places the organism in Eukaryota, Metazoa, Arthropoda, Malacostraca, Decapoda, Portunidae.
AGCAGUCAGCCGGAGACUUGCGUUAGGCUCACAAGCAUCCCCACGCCCUCCCUCGCCUCGGCCGCAGCCCCGGUAGACACACACCCCCCCAGGGAAACCUUUAGUACCCUGGACACGCACCCUCAAGGACACUUCUCCCUUAGUUAACUUAGAAACGUGAGAAACAUAAGAGGCAGUGAAGAGAAUCAGUGUGAUUUAAUUCGGCUCGCCAUGUGAUGCUGAAUUCGCGUGCAUGUUCCGUGGGAGUCAGCGCGUGUGCGUGUGUGUGCGUGCGUGAGUGACAGUGCGUCCGUGAGUGAGCGUGUGCAGACGCGUGAGUGUAUGUAAGUGCGUGUACGUUUGUGUGUGUGCGUGCGUGUGUGUGUGUGUGGUCUCCCGGCGGCGUCACUUCGUCAGUUUGCGUCGGGUGGCCGGAGUCGCGGGAGGCAUAGGCAGUGUUCCCUUCAUCCCUCCCUACCUCCCUUCCUCCCUCCCCUUCAAUCUCGCCAUCUUGAAGGGAAGAAGCCUAGCCAAUCACCUUCCCUCCAACCCGCAAGAGGACGAAGAGAGGAGAGAAGAAAGAAGAGGAAGAAGAAGAGGAGGAGGAAGAGGAAAUCAACCAGCCUUAGUCCCGCAGGAAAAAAAAAUAAUAAUAACAUCAUAUAGGGAGUUUUUUGGCCCCUCUCUUUCCUCCUGCUGACGGCCCCCCUCCUCCGCCCCCCGCCUGAUCCGCCCCCCAUCACUAGGACCUGAUUUUCGAAGAAGGAUGAAGGGCGCAACAGCCUCUCCCGUCUUCACGAUGAGUUCCACCCUUGUGCUGUGUUGCAUAGCGGCGUGUUUGGCGCUGACAGAGGGCGUCCACAACGACCUGUCUUGCUACCAGUGCAAUGUGGACACACUCGGAUGAAUGCACAGAUGACUACCUCGCCCCGUGCCCCGACACCCAGCUCUUCGACAGGUGUCAAACCCGCGACAGGAGGACAGCUGACGGCAGACACUGGGGUUGAGAAAGGGUGUGCGCUGGCCCCCUGUCAGCUCCCUAGGAUGGUUGGGGACGCCCCUGGGCACCACCUGCGACUACUCUGCCCCCGCCUACGACUGUGUCUUCUGCUGCCGGGGUAGUGGGUGCAACGGCAGGGCAGUUUCCACGGUUUCUUCUCUGCCCCCCUUUGCUACUUCGUCUCCUCCUCCCUCUCUUGGGUUUGUUAACUCCUGUUUUCGUUCUGUAAAACUUAUUUUCGUCUCCCAUUCUUCCUUCUCCUCUUCCCAUUCUCUUCUGUCCGUUCUUUUCCUCUUUUUCUCUUGUUUUUUUUUUUUUAUCCCAUGGUGUCUAUCUAGUGUUUUUUCUCUUCCUCUCCUCUUCUUUCUGUCUUUCCUUUUCUCCCCCCCUCCGUUUCUGUGUCCAUCUUAAACAGUAAGUUCUCGGCGCUCUCUCUCUCUCUCUCUCUCUCCCUCUCUCUCUCCUCCUCUCUCUCUCUCUCUCUCUCUCUCUCUCUCUCUCUGCUGUUUACCUUUCUAUCCGCGCCAUCUGCUCCCAAAUGCACUUUUUAGAGAAUCUGAACCGAAGGUUGAGAGCAAACAGUGAAGAAGAAGAAGAAGAAGAAGAAGAAGAAGAAGAAGAAGAAGAAGAAGAAGAAGAAGAAGAAGAAGAAGAAGAAGAAGAAGAAGAAGAAGAAGAAGAUGAUGAUGAUGAUGAUGAUGAUGAUGAUGAUGAUGAUGAUGAAGAAGAAAAGGAGGAGGAGGAGGAGGAGGAGGGUAAGAAGUAGGAAGAAACAUGGAGGUGAUGCAGAGAGAAAGUAGAAGUAAAACAAAGCAGAAAAAAAGAAAAAAGAAUAAACACGAAAUCGAGAGAUAAAUGUGGGAAAAAUUAAGAAAGAGAGAGAGAAAAAAAAAGAAUGGCAACAAACAAGAAACAAACUCCACCGGAAGGAAACCAAAGAGAAGAAAUGGAGAAAGAGGAAAGAAAAAAAAAAGAAGAGGAAAGAAAGAUGAUGUAUAAUAAAAACAAACAAACAAACAAAAAAAACAUAGAGAAUAAAUAGAUAGAUGAAAACAAAGCAGAGAUAAGGAUACUGUGUCAUUCCCUUGACUUUCCUUCCCCUUUUCUCUCUUUCCCUCUCUCCCUCUCUCCCUUUUUCUAUCCUUCCUUUUCAUACCCAGCCAACCAUGUCCCCAAUUAGAAUACGUAUGUACGAGUUUGUGUCAGUUCCCAUGUACGUGAUGAAGGGAGCAGCAACGUACAUGUUUGUGGAGGUAUUACAGGUAACACACGAGUAAUACAAGUACAGGUUGUGUUGUAUACAUGUAAAAAAAAAAAAAAUCAGCAGCAACGUUAGCUAGAAGAGAGAGGUAAUACACGUACAUGUCCAUUAUUUAAGAGAGAGUUGCGUACGUCUACAAGUUGUUGCGUCAUCUGUAUCAACACGUGACAUAGAGCAUAUCAAAAUAACUGUAACCUGUAGAACAUAUCACAGAGUUAUGGCAGGUUGUAGUGAGUCUUAGUGUUCUGCUGCUGUGCUAACUGCUGCUACUGUUACUACUACUGAUACUACUACUACUACUACUACUACUACUACUACUACUAUUACUACUACUACUACAACUACUACUACUACUACUACUCUACCGUUUCAGCUUCUCUUAUUUGAUGUUACUACUACUACUACUACUACUACUACUACUACUACUACUACUACUACUACUACUACUACUACUACUACUACUACUGCUAUUACUACUACUAUAACUACUGCAAUAUUUCUCCUGUUACUACUACAUAAUUUUACUACUACUUCCGCUGCUGUCACUAUAACUACUACUACUACUACUACUACUACUACUACUACUACUAUUUGGAGGAGCCUUUCGCCUCCUAUGUCUUCCAGAUGUGUGUGUGUGUGUGUGUGUGUGUGUGUGUGUGUGUGUGUGUGAGUGUGUGUGUGUGUGUGUGUGUGUGUGUGUGUGUGUGUGUGUGUGUUUGUAUGUGUGUGUGUAUGUGUGUGUGUGUGUGUGU